Non-coding RNA from Vicia faba (fava bean), 378 nucleotides. Lineage: Eukaryota; Viridiplantae; Streptophyta; Magnoliopsida; Fabales; Fabaceae. The record is from the annotation of a GenBank genome assembly.
AUGUAUCACAUUAACCAUAUUCAAAAGUUAAGUGGUGGUUUACCUUAUGCUCGGUUGAUCUCUAAAAUUCUGCAACAUUGUGAUAUUGAUCUGAAAAGAGAACCUAGAGAGGACAUGGAUGUGAAGGAUUUUAAAAAUAAUGACAAAUCUGCUUUGAGGAAUACCAGCAUUGUUUUGGACCAAGAUAGAAAAUUUCAGUUUCGGGAUGCUUAUCGUCCUCCUCUAAUUCUGGCUGGAAGAUAUUCUCAUGAAAUAACUUACAACAAAAUUUGCUCCAUUGAAUCAACUAUGAUGUGUCAUCACCAAGAGAACAAAUUUGAAUUCACCUCUUUGAAAAUAAUGAUGAGAACUCUUCUUAAGCAAACCCGAAAGAAAUAA